Non-coding RNA from Pelobates cultripes (western spadefoot toad), 346 nucleotides. NCBI's taxonomy places the organism in Eukaryota, Metazoa, Chordata, Amphibia, Anura, Pelobatidae. The record is from the annotation of a GenBank genome assembly.
GGAAGUGUUUCCGCUUCUUUUUUACAAAAGACAUCUGCAAAAUCAGAGUAGAAUGGAGGUAUAACUGAUUCUUGAGUAGUUUGGAGAAUAGGAAUAUGUUGUAAGCAGGUUUUUUUACAAAAAUCAGAAGAAAAGGAAACGGAGAAGGGUGACCAUUUAAUUAGAGGAUCAUGGGUUUUUAACCAAUUAAUUCCUAGAAUGACAGGAUAAAGUGGAGAUUUAAUAACAUCAAAUGUAAGAAAUUCGGUAUGUACGUUGUUGGUAAUCAUUCUUAGAGGAAUUGUCUCAUCUUUUAUGGGUCCUGAGGAUAUUCUGGAAUUAGAUGUUCUUUUGGUGGAGAGUUCUG